UGUUAUGGAUUCUGUAAAAAAUUGGUAAAAGAGUAGAAUCAUCAUUUCUUUUGUACAAAUACCAUUGCUUUUAUUCCAACAAGCCUUUAGGCAUGAAGAAAUCUCCUAUAAGUGUAUUAUUAUGCACAACAAACAUGGCCAAAAAUACAACUCAAAAUCAUUUAUCGCACAUUACAUUGACUACUGGCAGUUACUUAUCUUCAGCAGUGAAAUCUGGCUCUGUUGGUUUCUGAAGCAGAAUGGGUGAUAUCCUGUCUGGCACUCUUGCUUUAUUUGCUUUAUUUCGUCGCAGAGCGCGAAGUGCAUUAGCAGCAAAUCUUGAUGCAUAGAUGGUAGCACCAAAACUUGGUGAACUGGAACCUUCCUUUGCUAAUGCAUCUUGCAAUCUGCUUUCUUCUACACGAAGAGACUCUUCUACCUUCUUCCUGCAAUAAUUGCGCCAUGCUGCUUGUAAAAAGCAAGCUGCCCAAGUUCUCCAAUGACCUGAAUAAAACCUGAAAGUAUGGCGGAGCUGCUUACUGUGAAGUCUUCGAAACUGAGAGGCCACAAACUUUAAAUCAUCAGCCACUAAAGCAAAUGCUUCAACUUCUGAGAGUGCUUGUGCAGUUCGGGUUGAGGUAGGUAAGUUAGUUGAUGAAUGAGGGUCAAGAGCCCAAGUAAGUAGCUCCUCUCCACAAAAAUCACCAGCUUUUAGAUACUCUGAGUUGAAAAAACCUGUCCUCCCUCCAUUAGUGGUUACAGACUGUAGUUUGCCCCUCAUUACAAACAGCAUCUCAUUAACUGGGUCACCUUCACGAACGAUGUAGCUGUUCUCGGUGUAGAGAACUGGCUUGAGUCGGUCACAUAGUGCAUCCAAGAGUUGUUCAUCCAUUUUUUCAAACAUUGGCACUCUCAUGAGUAAAGCUAAACAAAGAUGGCGCUUUAUAUCUCUUCUGAGAUCUUUGGGAAGGUUGUGAAUCAGAUUUUCUUCCUCAACACCCCUUGUUUCUUGCCACUUAUAUUGCUCAUAGCGCCUAAUUCGCUCUCUGAGGUUCUCAGGGAGUAACCGAUGUGACAUCCACUGUUCUGCAUCUCGCCUUUUCACCCUCAUCUCCUCUAGUCUCAUUGUUGAGGACUGCAGACAUGUCUAUCACAAACA
This 1138-nucleotide unclassified non-coding RNA is filed under the name Hevea brasiliensis (rubber tree). Lineage: Eukaryota; Viridiplantae; Streptophyta; Magnoliopsida; Malpighiales; Euphorbiaceae. The record is from RNAcentral.